GAGUGUAGGGUUCCUAGCGAGCCCAACCUCCCACCCGUGUUUACUGUACCUUAGUUGCUUCGGCGGGCCCGCCAUUCGUGGCCGCCGGGGGCUCUCAGCCCCGGGCCCGCGCCCGCCGGAGACACCACGAACUCUGUCUGAUCUAGUGAAGUCUGAGUUGAUUGUAUCGCAAUCAGUUAAAACUUUCAACAAUGGAUCUCUUGGUUCCGGCAUCGAUGAAGAACGCAGCGAAAUGCGAUAACUAGUGUGAAUUGCAGAAUUCCGUGAAUCAUCGAGUCUUUGAACGCACAUUGCGCCCCCUGGUAUUCCGGGGGGCAUGCCUGUCCGAGCGUCAUUGCUGCCCAUCAAGCACGGCUUGUGUGUUGGGUCGUCGUCCCCUCUCCGGGGGGGACGGGCCCCAAAGGCAGCGGCGGCACCGCGUCCGAUCCUCGAGCGUAUGGGGCUUUGUCACCCGCUCUGUAGGCCCGGCCGGCGCUUGCCGAACGCA
This 487-nucleotide ribosomal RNA is filed under the name Aspergillus flavus. RNAcentral's name for it is "eukaryotic LSU rRNA". The stretch from base 181 to 334 matches the Rfam family "5.8S ribosomal RNA". The record is from RNAcentral. Lineage: Eukaryota; Fungi; Ascomycota; Eurotiomycetes; Eurotiales; Aspergillaceae.